This is a long non-coding RNA of Athene cunicularia (burrowing owl), 2878 nucleotides long. RefSeq lists it as uncharacterized. The transcript is spliced from 3 exons. Lineage: Eukaryota; Metazoa; Chordata; Aves; Strigiformes; Strigidae. The record is from RefSeq and is a predicted model, not a curated record.
UUGCAUGUUUUGCAUUUGAAAAUAUUUACAUUUAUUAUUGCAUUUAAUUUUGUUAGAAACUCAUGUCAUUUCAUGCUCUGAUUCAUUAUCUAAAAACAUCUUGGUAUGUAAUGGUUGGCUCAGUCCUUCUGAGGCAAGUAUGAGAGAUUUUGGAAAAGUUGUAAGACUCUUAGUGUACACACAGCAAACCUGCUUGUUCAGUGACUGCCUUCCUUAACUAUAUAAAACUCAUGAGUGGACCAAGAAAAUAGCUAGUGCUUUAUAUGUAUCUUAUCACUUUAGUAAGCAGUUAGAUUUUUAUAGUAGUACAGUCUGCAGGCAAGUGCUAUUGCGUGUGCUUUAACCCUUCACAAAAGAAAAAUGUUUCAUUGUUGAUAAGUGCCAUUACAUAUAAAGUGACGUAUUAACCUAUCUAAAAAUAGUGCUGUGCUCAACGAGGCAACCACACCAUCAGUCGACUGCUGAUUUCUUUUACUGCAGUGUCAUCAGUAACUGAGGCAUUCACAGUUGAGAUCAGAGGAGCCUCAAAUAGGGGGACACUGAGAACCUAGGACAUUACAUUGGCAUUGCAUGGUGUGUCCCAACCCCUCGCUAAUAUGCUGAAUAGGUGAACAAGUUGGGGCUCUGAAAGCAAUUCUGUGGCACAGAAGAUUUCUUGGAAGCUAGGUCAGGAGAAAAUAAAUUCCAGUGCUGAUGAAGCUGACAAAUUCAAGUACAUUCUUCAAAAUAGCAUUUUUCUCUGGCAAUGUAAUUUUAGUUUGGAGUACAGCAAUAAUUGAAUUCCUGGGACUGAUACAGGUGAGACAGGGUUUGGUUUUAAUUGAUUACUUAUUUAGGCCUUCUGAGAUGUGAAGGUCUAAAUGUGAACUGUGAAAAGUUGUUUGGCAUGAGAAAAACUUUCUGUUACCCUAAAAGGUAAGGUACAUGAUGCUUUUUUACGGUCUCGUGAUAUCAAUGUGAAGAUGUGAAAUGACAACAAAUGUGUAAAAUGCUGGACAAAUGUUUGGGCACGUAUGCAGUGGGAAUUUUAUAAAGCUAAGAAAUGACAGCUAUCUAAGAAUAAAAAGAUUCAAAAAUAAGAAGAGUUUUAUGGGGCAGACAUCCUAGGGCAUACUAUGUUACUCUAGGGAAUAUUUACCUACAGGAGUAGUUGUAUAGUCUGUGAGGAGAACGGUUUGUGUUUCAGUGUCUGAACACUACAUCAUUGGUAAUGCUUUUGGGUUUUUCUUUCACAGUACAGCAGUGUGGUAGAGUGAUGGUGUCACUGAGGGAUUCUUAGUAGCUGUGGGAUAUCCAUACAGCGGUCAAGUGACUUCCCCAGAGUCAUGCUGGUAGUUGAACUUGGGUCUUAACUGAGUUUAGUUUUAUUAACUCAGUGCUUUUAGAUGAGUGUUUAAAAUUCUUAAUUGUUGUAGAAAAUAGUGGUUUUCUUUCAGAAAGGAACAGUGGUUAUGUUAAUGUAUAGUUGUUUUUUUUCUUCUUGUUUUUAAAGGUGUGGUACUGCACUUCCUAUUGAAGGGUGGAGGUGAAGGCAGGUAUUUCCUGCUUUCCAGGCAUUUGGGUGUCACGUUUUCCUGUUGCUGUUAUUUGGGCCUUACAGAGUGUGUCUUUUCAUUCUGUGCUGCUAUAUUUAAGAGCCAGGAAAAGAUCAAGCUCUUGCUGAAGGUGCUUUAUUAACAAAUUCUGAAUUAAUAGUCAUAAAGCAGCUGUUGUAUUAUAGGCCUUUUCCUAUCUAGUCUAGUUUUGGGUUGGCUAAACGCUGACUGUUAAGGAACUGGAAAUAGCAAAGAUAAUGGAUCACGAACACUUACAGGUCACCUGCUUCAUCAGUGGCUUUAAUGUUUGGUUUCUGUCUUGGUUUUGGAGUCUUGCCUGAUGAUGUUAGCUUUUAGAGGUUGCUGUUGUUGCAGAAAAUUAAGUUGAUGGAGAAUCAGUGAGGGAGUUAAGUAGUGGGAAUUUCUAGGUUCUUGCUAGGUGAAAUGCUACGGCUUUUUAAAUUCUGGAUGUUGUGAGAAGUUGGAAUGUUGAAAUAACACAGGAAGAAAAGAAAUCUGAUUUAAAGUAUUAGCAGGGCCUAGGCAAAGGGAAGUGUUACAGAACCAUGUUCAUUUAGAUUCCUGAAUAUAUUCAGUUCUUCUUUAAUGCUUCUUCUGUUAUUAACUUCCAACUUCAACAUUCAGAAUGCUAACCAAGCUAGAUGGAAGUUAUUUUUUUGGUUUACAUGUAGCAAGUACAAAACUGUCAAAACAGGUAAUAGAUAAUUUAUUGGUUUUGUCUUUAACAUUUGUUACUUACUCUAAGACUGAAGAAUGAUGAGUCAAAGUAGUUGAAUAGGGUUUUUUGAGGAAGUUUAGGGGAAUUUGGGUUCUGCAAUAUUUGAGUGAAAGAUUCAAAAACUCCUCUACCUGUACCUUUAUGAAUGAGACAAAUUCUCAUGAUAGAACUGAUUUUCCUUGGAUAUGAUUAUGGUAUGUAUCUUUUUGCCUUGAUUCACUAAGAAAUGAAACAAUACAGAAUAAUAUGUGAAAGUGUCACAGCAGUUUGGUGAGGAAGACCGAAACUGUAGGAUAAGUUGGUGUCAGUAGUAAAUGAGUUGGGAAGCCCCAACUUUGAAGGUAGGCUUCAGUUCCUGUCUCUCCUAAAAUGGUAGUGGCAACUCCUUUUAUAACAAUUUUUGCUACAUAACUUUUUCUCACAGUAGUGGGAUCUUGCAAGAGUCUGUAUUGCAGAACUUCUCUUUAUCUUAAAUCAUCCGUUGUCUGAAAAGUAUGAUUACUGUCCAGACAAGGCAGUUGUAAAGUGUAAUUCCCUAUCUGGAAAGAAAAUAAACAAUCUUGAGGAAGAGUCCAGCCAGCUGUUAAUGCUGAUGACUUACCAU